This 391-nucleotide ribosomal RNA is filed under the name uncultured bacterium. RNAcentral describes it as "bacterial SSU rRNA". It matches the Rfam family "Bacterial small subunit ribosomal RNA", at positions 28 to 416 of the family's 1533-position model. The record is from RNAcentral.
AAUGAACGUUGGCGGCGUGGAUUAGGCAUGCAAGUCGAACGAAUCCCAUCUGGGUAACUGGAUGGGGGAAGUGGCGAAAGGGGCAGUAAUGCAUGGGUAACCUACCUCGGGGACCGGGAUAGCCUUCCUAACGGAUGGGUAAUACCGGGCGAUGUGGUUGAGAGGCAUCUCUUGGCCACGAGAUGAAUUUCGCCUCGAGAGGGGCUCAUGUCGUAUUAGCUAGUUGGCAGGGUAACGGCCUACCAAGGCGAAGAUGCGUAGCGGGUGUGAGAGCACGACCCGCGCCACUGGCACUGAGACACUGGCCAGACUCCUACGGGAGGCUGCAGUCGAGGAUCUUCGGCAAUGGGCGCAAGCCUGACCGAGCGACGCCGCGUGAGCGAUGAAGGCC